AGAAUCAACGCUGGCGGCGUGCCUAACACAUGCAAGUCGAACGAGAAAGUGGAGCAAUCCAUGAGUAAAGUGGCGCACGGGUGAGUAACACGUGACUAACCUACCCUUGAGUGGGGAAUAACCUCGGGAAACCGGGGCUAAUACCGCAUAACACCUACGGGUCAAAGGAGCAAUUCGCUUAAGGAGGGGUCGCGGCAGAUUAGUUAGUUGGCGGGGUAAUGGCCCACCAAGACGGUGAUCUGUAU
RNAcentral lists this ribosomal RNA (245 nucleotides) under uncultured bacterium. RNAcentral describes it as "partial small subunit ribosomal RNA". It matches the Rfam family "Bacterial small subunit ribosomal RNA", at positions 26 to 286 of the family's 1533-position model. The record is from RNAcentral.